CCGUUGUAUUGGGUGGGAAGUGAGCGGGUGAUGAGUGCUGAUGGGUGUCCUUUUUCAUUGCUCGGUUGUGAUAGUAGCUUCUUCAAUGGAUAAAAGAUCGAGCACACCAUGGUGUAAGAGGUAACUAUAUAUGCUUCUAUGUCUAUUGUCCUAGAUGACGGAAGAGACCCGUGACCGCUUUACACAUUAGUGACGUGCAUUCUGCGAUUUUUGCUCACUAAUCAUGUUUCUGUAUCAUACAGAGAAGUAGCUCCACUUCUCCUCGCUGGCACACGAGUCGUUCUCUAACUCCAAGACGUCGUAAAGGUCAUUCUCUUCAACUCCAAGGUGUUAUGAGAGGCAAAGAAUUAGGAGUUCCUCAGUGUCUCCUACUCGUAAACCUUCUAGUCCAAGUCUUGGGUUAGUGGAGUGCAAAAUUCUUAGUGAAAAAAUGAGAAAAGAAGAGGAGGAGGAGGAGGAGGAGAGGUGUAUCGACUAUCAUGCAUCUUGGUUCUGUCUAUCAUCAAGUUUCUAUUACCAUUCCUAAAUUUCAGCACUCUAAACUUAUCAUUUGAACUUUUGGCAUAUUCUUGCAAGUUUCUAUUGAUUGCAUAUACGUUGUUAGAUUGAUCUGGAGAUAGAAAAUGUUAGUCUAUUAGGCAUGUACGUGUUGCUUAAUGAAUCAGAGAAGUUGUACCGUAUCCACGAGGCCAAAUUGUAACUUAAUGCCAUCUAAUUGAGAGAUUCCAGCUCUGUGCAGCCUGGUCCAUGGAGGUCAAAGAAAAUGACCGGGAGAUAUCUUAACCAGUGGUCUGCAUGAAACAUGAAAUUCUACAUCUUCAAUUGCAUUAGUCCGAUU
Molecule: long non-coding RNA, 838 nt
Filed under: Populus tremula
Lineage: Eukaryota; Viridiplantae; Streptophyta; Magnoliopsida; Malpighiales; Salicaceae
Description: long non-coding RNA (PTRE_LNC002060)
Source: RNAcentral